This 193-nucleotide non-coding RNA is filed under the name uncultured Prevotella sp. Lineage: Bacteria; Pseudomonadati; Bacteroidota; Bacteroidia; Bacteroidales; Prevotellaceae. The record is from RNAcentral.
CGAUUGAGGUUCGCAUAUCAGCGAUUAAAAGGGAAUGGGGUGAAAAUCCCCGACUGUCCCGCAGCUGUAAGUUCCUUUAUCAUCCGCAAACAUUAUGGUCCACUGCUAAAGUUUUACACCUUAUUAUAUAUAAGGGGAGCAACAGCGGGAAGGAGUUUGCGGAUGGAACGAAGUCAGAAGACCUGCCUCAUGA